Acromyrmex echinatior (Panamanian leafcutter ant) is the source of this 2134-nucleotide RNA transcript. It is a transcript of the gene named CB1 cannabinoid receptor-interacting protein 1, with no coding region annotated. Lineage: Eukaryota; Metazoa; Arthropoda; Insecta; Hymenoptera; Formicidae. The record is from RefSeq and is a predicted model, not a curated record.
GAAUAUCUCCGUGUCUUCUUGAACAAAGCAGCAUGCAUGUCGUUUAUCAUUGCCAGAAGUUAACGUUGGCCGAUCUCCCGAAGAAGAUACACACGAGAAAAAGAAGGAAAGCCACCGAGCCGGCCGGCGUCGUAAACGUCAAACCGACGUUUGGCGGAUCAGUGAGCGUCGCGACGCCCGCGGCGCAGGUUGCACCGCCUCUUCUUCUUGCGGCUCGCCGAUAGUACAUACCGGUGCGUCGGAUAGGACGUCGUUGCGCGGCACCACCGGUGAUACCGCGUGUCUGGUACAUACCGGCCGUUCGAUAUCUUCUCUGGGGCACCAACUCACCAAGACUUAGAAAUAAUUAUUAUGGGAUGUUUAAGCGGCGGCUAAAUGGGGGCCGAUGGACAUUUUCGUGUGACUUUGUCCCUCAAGAAGGAACCAGGUGCCGGUCCAGUCUUUUGCAAGAUGGAGACAUCUGCCAGGUUCCGGCAGCUGAAGACGGUGAAGCUGAGCUGCGACACGACCUACCGACUCGAUAUUAGCUUCAAGCCGCCGCAAUUGUUGCAGUUCCUGAGUAUCGGUGGCAAACAAGUGGAGACGGUUGAACGAGCAAGGAACACAGCGGCGUGUGCUUACAGCGCUUAUCACAGCACUAAAGAUAUCCCAGCGAGUGUACGUGGUCAUCGGGAGGAUCUGCCGAUCGCCAUGAGAGUCCUCGGUUCCGGCUACUUGACCACUUGUCUGCAAAUCAAAUACUACCGAUUGGAUGAUCAGAGCCACUGCGAGUGGGGUGCUAGAUUGCACUGCAUCGAGCUUGAUUGUUCUAGCGUCGAGGGACGUCUCGUCACGGUGGAUCGGGAGACGUACAGAAAGCUCGGCAUAGAAUCUUAACGAAACGUCAUCAGCUUCACCGGUAUCGGCUCGUUGCCAGCUCAUUACAGCGAGGAACCGACGCCGCACCGCGUAGUGCCACAAUCGAUGCCUCUCGCACGCGAUCGGCUGAAUACUUUACGCUCGUAAAUGGGAUUGCUGCAGGAAUUAAUACGAUAGGAAAAUGAACUCUAACACAUUAAUAAUAGAUAUUUACAUAUCGACAUAUGUAUAUAUACGUACUACGUAUCGAACAUACACGCGUCAUUGAUUUCUGAUUAAUACUUAAUUGUGAAUACGAAUCAAUCGCGAGGCAAUAUGCCGUGGUAAGGAAGAGAACGGCGUUUUUUUAUAAUUGAAAGCAUCGACAGAAGUCCUACUCGUGUCAGUGGUGCGACGUCAGCUUUCGUGAAACUUUGCGAUCGAAGUGUACGAUGCACUUUUACGCGUAUUCUUCGCUUCGAUGUUAUUUUUUAUUUACGAUAAUUCUUGCUUAUUUUUCUUUUUUAUCUUUGCACUUCUCGAAAGAUAAAAUUAUUAUAAAACUCGUCUCUGUCUUGAUAUAUGCGUUAUUGUGUACGUUAAUUUUAAAAGCGUCCUCAGAGCGCUACAAUAGGAGCUUGAAGUAUCUUAAUACUCGAAAACUUUGGCAAUCAGCGAAGUGACCAAUUAACGCCUUUACGCUUACUGUAAUUAUGCAAGUCGUUUCUACUUUCUCUACUCGUUUAAUGGAUUAACAAAGUUAUCUUUACAAGUUGUAUAAGUGUAUUGCAUGUACAGGGUGAUUCUCGAUUAUAUGUUAAAACUUCAGAGAUAUAUUUAGAACAAGGAAAAAAUGUCAUCUAUGAGACACGGAUUAAAUAUUAUUUUCAAAGUUUGUAUCGGCUUGAAACGUGUGCAUGUAUAUAUUCAUACACACGCGCGUAUUUUUGUCGUACUGCGAUGAGUCUUACUCAUUCUAAUGUAGGCGGCGAAAAGGAAUUUACAAUAAAUUAAGUUUCCGAUGCAAUGUUCGGAAUUUUCUGCGAUUUCUUGUCCUAUGGCGCUUAAAAUCAAAUUUUUCGCAUAAUACGUAUCGAUUGAUCAGAGGCGUCCUACAUUUUUAGUUACGUCUUUACAUAACGCCUCUGAUUAAUUAUACGAAAAAUUGGUGCCAUGGAAUGGCAUUCUUAGUUCAAAAUCCAUUUGUGUAUAAUUAAAGAUCACUCUGGUAUGAAAUCUCUCUAAAAGAAAUAUAUAUACAUUAUUUACAUACAAUAAAUAUAAAAAAUCACAUGUC